UGGGGAAUUUUGGACAAUGGGGGCAACCCUGAUCCAGCCAUCCCGCGUGUGCGAUGAAGGCCUUCGGGUUGUAAAGCACUUUUGGCAGGGAAGAAACAGCCUGGGAUAAUACCCCGGGCGACUGACGGUACCUGCAGAAUAAGCACCGGCUAACUACGUGCCAGCAGCCGCGGUAAUACGUAGGGUGCAAGCGUUAAUCGGAAUUACUGGGCGUAAAGCGUGCGCAGGCGGUUCGGAAAGAAAGGUGUGAAUCCAGACUACUGGAACUGCACUUUACUAUCCGAGCUAGAGUACGUCAGAGGGGGGUAGAAGGUUCCACGUGUAGCAGUGAAAUGCGUAGAGAUGUGGAGGAAUACCGAUGGCGAAGGCAGCCCCCUGGGAUGAUACUGACGCUCAUGCACGAAAGCGUGGGGAGCAAACAGGAUUAGAUACCCUGGUAGUCCACGCCCUAAACGAUGUCAACUAGCUGUUGGGGUUUAUUAACCUUAGUAGCGCAGCUAACGCGUGAAGUUGACCGCCUGGGGGAGUACGGUCGC
RNAcentral lists this ribosomal RNA (536 nucleotides) under uncultured bacterium. RNAcentral describes it as "partial 16S ribosomal RNA". It matches the Rfam family "Bacterial small subunit ribosomal RNA", at positions 355 to 889 of the family's 1533-position model. The record is from RNAcentral.